This 293-nucleotide ribosomal RNA is filed under the name Arabidopsis thaliana (thale cress). Lineage: Eukaryota; Viridiplantae; Streptophyta; Magnoliopsida; Brassicales; Brassicaceae. The record is from RNAcentral.
AAAGCUCGGUAAGACUAGAUGGGGUAUCCCUACAUAGCGGGUGGGACCCACGGCGAAUGGUUCAUCAAGUCUUCAAAAAAGAAUAUAUACGAUUGCAUUGCAUAUACUAACGGAUGCGAUCAUACCAGCACUAAUGCACCGGAUCCCAUCAGAACUCCGCAGUUAAGCGUGCUUGGGCGAGAGUAGUACUAGGAUGGGUGACCUCCCGGGAAGUCCUCGUGUUGCAUCCCUCUUUUAUGUUUAACCUUUUUUUUUUUGGUUAAAACUUUAUGACUCCAUAACUUCUAGACCGA